Molecule: ribosomal RNA, 144 nt
Filed under: Candidatus Fibrimonadaceae bacterium
Lineage: Bacteria; Pseudomonadati; Fibrobacterota; Fibrobacteria; Candidatus Fibrimonadales; Candidatus Fibrimonadaceae
Description: partial 16S ribosomal RNA
Rfam family: Bacterial small subunit ribosomal RNA
Source: RNAcentral
CCAAUGAAGAGUUUGAUCCUGGCUCAGAACGAACGCUGGUGGCGUGUCUGAUGCAUGCAAGUCGAGCGAGGCGGGGCAACCCAGCCGAGCGGCGGACGGGUGAGUAACGCGUGAGCAACCUGCCCCGGAGUUGGGAACAACCGG